Long non-coding RNA from Carassius gibelio (silver crucian carp), 1042 nucleotides. RefSeq lists it as uncharacterized. The record is from RefSeq and is a predicted model, not a curated record. The transcript is spliced from 3 exons. Lineage: Eukaryota; Metazoa; Chordata; Actinopteri; Cypriniformes; Cyprinidae.
AGUUGCAGGUACAAAUAUUUUCUUUAUUAUAACUAUUCAAGAUCUUUACAUUUAAUUAUUUGUUGUGGUUGUGUUGAAUGUUCAAAUUUUUUCACAGAUCUGUGCUGAGUUUCACAGAGUGACGAAUGUCAACCUAAAGAAUCGUUUCUUUGCUCAACUGGACCAACAUACCCCCCGGCUUCAGAGCCUGUUUCGGAAAAAAGCUUCUCGGACAGGAAAAGCUUCUGAACUCCUGGAUGAGCUCUUCAGGAUUUAUGACCUCCAGGAUCAAGUUGAUGUCCAUGUUAGACGUGCUGUGGUACUCCGGGCUCUCCCUCCGUAUAUGCAUGAGAGUGGUGUUAUCUUUUUCAAGAUGUGGGACGUGGAGCAGACUGAAGAACUGAACACCAAUGAUGUACCACUUGGGCUCCUCCUAAGCAAUCAGACAUCAUCAGAUGCCCAUUUUUUCUGCCCAGAGAGGAUUGCAGUUCUGAUUGAGGGUAACAUUGUUAUUGAGUCCUCCACACUGGCUGAUGCAUUCGUCAUUCUAUUUGCACUUACAUACACCCUGCACCUUAACUAUCCAAAACAAUUGCUCAACACAUUUGACUUCGUCCAAAAGGUCUUGAUGGGUCUUGAGGAUGGAAAGUUGAGGCCUAGAGUUUUGAGUCUGAAAAAUGACCUGUUAGCAGUAGUGUAAGCACAUUUGUUUUUCUUGCUGUAAAACAUCUAACAGAUGGGUUUUAUAGAUAUUGUUGCUGAAGUUUUAAUGCCAUAAAGUUGAAUGAAGUCCUGUUUUGUACAUUUUUGUACUUGUGUAAUAUGUUUGUGUAUCUAAUACAUAUAUUUGUAUUGACAAAUAUUCUAAAUGUGUCCUAUGGUGUGACAACAAACAAUGUGGGGAAAAACAUUAUUUAAAAUAGUUUAAUCUCUUUAAUGGUAUUUGUAACUUUCUCAUGCUAUUUGUUUAAUUGUUAUUUUUUAUAUCUUUGCAAUGUCACACCAUAGGACAUAUUUACAAAUAUAAUACACUCAGGUAAUUUUGAAAUUGUGGCAUGGUGUG